AUGGCUGCUGAAGGGUGGCUCAUCGUCGUGUGCAGCGGCGGCAGCCUCGCCCUCGACAUCACGGCGUUUGUCUUGGCCGUCCUCGCGCAGGACUGCGUCCCAGGCGUGAUCCAGUUCACUCUCGAGGACCCACACCAGAGGUUAUGCAUGCUGCUGCUGCUGGUGGGCGUCCCAGUUGGUGCGUUCCUGCUGCUGGCCGAGUCGUGCUGGCUGAAGUAUGAGCAGCAGCAGCCGCCGCCCCCGCCGGCCGACGUCAGGCUCCUGGUCGUCCUGACCGCGUUCCAGUGGCUGCUCGCGUUGGCCGCCGUCGGAGCGGCGUCCUCCGCGCUAAUCGCGGACCUCGUCGCCGCGCCCGUGUGCGCGUCGUACCAGCUCGCCGCCGACGGGACGGCAUGCGCCGGCGGGGCUCUCGCUGCGGCGUCGGCGGUCGGGCUGCUCUCCGUCGUCUGCUCCCGGUUGCGCCAAGCUCCGGCGCCUCUGCAGCCUCAGGCCUAG
Molecule: ribosomal RNA, 495 nt
Filed under: Triticum aestivum (bread wheat)
Lineage: Eukaryota; Viridiplantae; Streptophyta; Magnoliopsida; Poales; Poaceae
Description: partial small subunit ribosomal RNA
Source: RNAcentral